RNAcentral lists this ribosomal RNA (2225 nucleotides) under Fidelibacterota bacterium. RNAcentral describes it as "partial 23S ribosomal RNA". It matches the Rfam family "Bacterial large subunit ribosomal RNA", at positions 231 to 2576 of the family's 2925-position model. The record is from RNAcentral. Lineage: Bacteria; Pseudomonadati; Fidelibacterota.
GAUACUCCCGUAGUAGUGGCGAGCGAACCGGGACCAGCCGAGCAAUGAAUGUGACUAGAACCAGUUGGAAAGCUGGGCGAUAUGGGUGACAGUCCCGUAUAGGAAGCAUGAUUGGACGUAUUAAGUAGGGCGGGACACGUGAAAUCCUGUUCGAAGAUCGGAGGACCACCUCCGAAGGCUAAGUACUCCUUACUGACCGAUAGUGAACCAGUACCGUGAGGGAAAGGUGAAAAGCACCCCGACGAGGGGAGUGAAACAGUUUCUGAAACCGGACGCCUACAAUCAGUUGGAGGGCCCUUGCGGCCUGACAGCGUACCUUUUGUAUAAUGGGUCAUCGACUUGGUCUAUCUAGCAAGCUUAAGCCGUUAGGUGUAGGCGCAGCGAAAGCGAGUCUUAAUAGGGCGAAUGAGUUAGAUGCAUUAGACCCGAAACCGAGUGAUCUAGGCAUGGCCAGGUUGAAGGUAAGGUAACACUUACUGGAGGACCGAACCCACAUCUGUUGAAAAAGAUCGGGAUGAGUUGUGCCUAGGGGUGAAAGGCCAAUCAAACUCGGAGAUAGCUGGUUCUCCGCGAAAUCUAUUUAGGUAGAGCGUCAUCCGAAUACCCCGGGGGGUAGAGCACUGGAUGGGUAAUGGGGCCCCACAGGCUUACUGAUCCUAACCAAACUCCGAAUACCCGGGAGUACUAGAUGGCAGACACACGGCGGAUGCUAACGUCCGUCGUGGAGAGGGAAACAACCCUGACCGACAGUUAAGGCCCCCAAUUCAUGGCUAAGUGGGAAAGCAGGUGGGACGACCAAAACAACCAGGAGGUUGGCUUAGAAGCAGCCAUCCUUUAAAGAUAGCGUAACAGCUCACUGGUCUAAAUAAGUUGUCCUGCGGCGAAGAUGUAACGGGGCUCAAGCCAUGAGCCGAAGCUUAGGAUGCAUUUAAUGCAUGGUAGCGGAGCGUAGUGUGACAUAGUUUCCUGUCUCUUUUGAUCCCUUUGGGGUCAUGGGAGACGCGAAGCUUUCUGUGAAGCCGGGCUGUAAGGCAUCCGGUGGAGAGAUCACUAGUGAGAAUGAUGACAUGAGUAGCGACAAAGAGUGUGAGAGACACUCUCGCCGAAAGUCCAAGGGUUCCUGCUUAAAGCUAAUCUGAGCAGGGUAAGCCGACCCCUAAGGCGAGGCCGAAAGGCGUAGUCGAUGGGAACCAGGUUAAUAUUCCUGGGCCGUGGAGUGGUGACGGAUCUCGAGUGUAGUUCAUCCUUAUUGGAUUGAAUGGGCUGCUUAGAGGUUCCUGGAAAUAGCCCUCCAUCAGACCGUACCCUAAACCGACACAGGUGGAUAGGUAGAGUAUACCAAGGCGCUUGAGAGAACUAUGUUGAAGGAACUCGGCAAAAUACCUCCGUAAGUUCGCGAGAAGGAGGCCCGGUUUCUAGGCAACUAGGAGCUGGGGGCACAAACCAGGGGGUGGCGACUGUUUACUAAAAACACAGGGCUCUGCGAAGUCGCAAGACGACGUAUAGGGUCUGACGCCUGCCCGGUGCCUGAAGGUUAAAAGGAGGGGUGAGAGCUCCGAAUUGAAGCCCAGGUAAACGGCGGCCGUAACUAUAACGGUCCUAAGGUAGCGAAAUUCCUUGUCGGGUAAGUUCCGACCUGCACGAAUGGCGUAACGACUUCCCCGCUGUCUCCAAUGUAGACUCAGCGAAAUUGAAUUGCCUGUUAAGAUGCAGGCUUCCCGCGGUUAGACGGAAAGACCCCGUGCACCUUUACUACAGCUUCGCACUGGCAUCAGAAUUGUGAUGUGCAGGAUAGGUGGUGGGCUUUGAAGCAGGAACGCCAGUUUCUGUGGAGCCUCCCUUGAGAUACCACCCUUGGCACUUUUGAUGUCUAACCGCGGUCCGUUAUCCGGAUCCGGGACCCUGUGUGGCGGGUAGUUUGACUGGGGCGGUCGCCUCCUAAAGAGUAACGGAGGCGCGCGAUGGUUGGCUCAGACCGGUCGGAAAUCGGUCGUCGAGUGCAAUGGCAUAAGCCAGCCUGACUGUGAGUCUGACAAGACGAGCAGAGACGAAAGUCGGUCAUAGUGAUCCGGUGGUCCCGAGUGGAAGGGCCAUCGCUCAACGGAUAAAAGGUACGCCGGGGAUAACAGGCUGAUACUGCCCAAGAGUCCAUAUCGACGGCAGUGUUUGGCACCUCGAUGUCGGCUCAUCUCAUCCUGGGGCUGGAGCAGGUCCCAAGGGUAUGG